GGCUCAGAUUGAACGCUGGCGGCAUGCUUACACAUGCAAGUCGAGCGGCAGCGCGGGGGCAACCCUGGCGGCGAGCGGCGAACGGGUGAGUAAUGCAUCGGAACGUACCCUGGAGUGGGGGAUAACGCCGCGAAAGCGGCGCUAAUACCGCAUAUGCUCUGAGGAGGAAAGUGGGGGACCGCAAGGCCUUGCGCUCUUUGAGCGGCCGAUGUCAGAUUAGCUAGUUGGUGAGGUAACGGCUUACCAAGGCGACGAUCUGUAGCGGGUCUGAGAGGAUGAUCCGCCACACUGGAACUGAGACACGGUCCAGACUCCUACGGGAGGCAGCAGUGGGGAAUUUUGGACAAUGGGCGCAAGCCUGAUCCAGCCAUGCCGCGUGAGUGAAGAAGGCCUUCGGGUUGUAAAGCUCUUUCGGCCGGGAAGAAAUCGCAUGGGUUAAUACCCUGUGUGGAUGACGGUACCGGAAUAAGAAGCACCGGCUAACUACGUG
Molecule: ribosomal RNA, 490 nt
Filed under: uncultured bacterium
Lineage: Bacteria
Description: bacterial SSU rRNA
Rfam family: Bacterial small subunit ribosomal RNA
Source: RNAcentral